Molecule: ribosomal RNA, 482 nt
Filed under: uncultured Tenacibaculum sp.
Lineage: Bacteria; Pseudomonadati; Bacteroidota; Flavobacteriia; Flavobacteriales; Flavobacteriaceae
Description: bacterial SSU rRNA
Rfam family: Bacterial small subunit ribosomal RNA
Source: RNAcentral
GAUGAACGCUAGCGGCAGGCUUAACACAUGCAAGUCGAGGGGUAACAUAGGUGCUUGCAUCUGAUGACGACCGGCGAACGGGUGCGUAACGCGUAUAGAAUCUGCCUUGUACAGGAGGAUAACCUUUAGAAAUGAAGACUAAUACUCCAUAAUGUUAAUGAAUGGCAUCAUUUAUUAAUUAAAUAUUUAUAGGUACAAGAUGACUAUGCGUUCUAUUAGCUAGAUGGUAAGGUAACGGCUUACCAUGGCAACGAUAGAUAGGGGGUCUGAGAGGACUAUCCCCCACACUGGUACUGAGACACGGACCAGACUCCUACGGGAGGCAGCAGUGAGGAAUAUUGGACAAUGGAGGCAACUCUGAUCCAGCCAUGCCGCGUGCAGGAAGACUGCCCUAUGGGUUGUAAACUGCUUUUAUACAGGAAGAAACCGUGGUACGUGUACCACCUUGACGGUACUGUAAGAAUAAGGACCGGCUAACUCCG